Molecule: long non-coding RNA, 7014 nt
Organism: Cryptomeria japonica (Japanese cedar)
Lineage: Eukaryota; Viridiplantae; Streptophyta; Pinopsida; Cupressales; Cupressaceae
Exons: 2
Source: RefSeq, a predicted model, not a curated record
UUUACCUCUGAAAAAAUAAAGAUAAAAUCUCAUCGCUAUCCGAUCGCUUAAAACCCUAGAAACCCUAGCCGAUAAAUUCUCAUCUCUAUCCGAUCGCUUAAAACCCUAGAAGCCCUAGCCGAUUCUGUGUAUGAAGGGACCUGAAUUUGACUCUACGGCUAGUAUCAGUGCCUAGAAGAUGAAUGGGUUCCCGAAAUGCAGGUCAUCUUUCUCACUUUGCCAAUUAGAUCUAAUUCUCCAUGUCUAGCUGGCCAUUCAAAGAUGCAACAUUUCUCGUAAGUUUUCUUUUUCAGUUUCUUUCUAAGUUACAUGGGGCCGAUAAGUUUGGAUCUUUGGCUACUGUGAAUGCCUCAGAGGCGAAUACGGUUACCAAAAUAAAUUUAAUCUUACUGGGUCUGUUGGAAAAUAUCCACUUCCACUGGGUUGUUUAAAGAUUGAACAGUGAAGCACUUUCGUGGAUUAAUUAGGGUUUUUAUUUUCUAUGCUCUUGUGCAUGUUUUAUCACAACUUUCCAGCUUUUAGGUAUUGUUGAUUUAAAGAGUAAGGUGAGUAAAGGAUUAACCGUUUUGGAGUGGAGAUUAAAACGAUUACUUGAUGGAAAAUGAGAGAACCAAAAUUACUCGGUCAAAGGUUUCAGGUAGAUUAUGCAUAUUUUAUUUCUCUCUGAUAACUUUUGUGCUUUUUGUUUUCUUGCCGUUUCACAUGUUGACAAGCCACUUACAUUAGGUAUUUGUGAGGAUGAAUCAGCUUUUAUAUUUUUAGCAAGUAGUAAUUUGUUAUCUGCUCAUUUAACUGUUCAAGAAUCCAUUUGCAUCACUACCUAUCCUGAAUUUUAUGGCAUGGUUUCAACACAGGUCACUCUAAGGUCAGGGGCUAUCUUGAUUACAGUCUGUUAAGGCAUGCGAUGCCGGUUGUGCUGGUAUUGUAAAUAGUUUUUUCAUUUUUCAAUUGAUAAGCAUUUUUAUUUUGUCAUUUGACAGAUAUACUUUAUUUUAUCACAUAUAACCCCGGCGGACGACGCUAGAUCUUGUUAAAAACCUAGUUCACAUCAGUCCCCGACCGAAAACAGAACCAACAAUUAACUUUAAAUACUCUAGAUCUGAUGACGGCUUUGACUCAGCAAAUAUGUUGUCUGAUAUGGGGAUUUGGAUUUGGGUUAUGAUUUUAGACAUUUUUUAGGGCUGCUUUAGUAAGUUUCAACUUAUGGAGUAAUUUAUCUUACUGUCUCAAUAAAUAAAUUUGUUCACAGGUAGUGCAGCUUUUUAGGGUUAUGAUUGGACUCAAUGGUGGGGGGUUGGGAUAAAGGUAUCAGGGCCAUACCCUUAUUGCAAUAUUGCCCUCGGCUGUGUGAGGGUGAUCUGAUUGCUACAAUAAAUAAAUUUGCUCACAGGUAUUGUGGUUUUCUUAUAUUAUUGUUGAACUAAAUGGUGGGAGGUUGGGAUGAAGGUAUCAAGGCCAUACCCUCUUCUAAGGGACAUUGAUUUACCACCUUUGGUUGAGUGGCGCAAAGGUGGAUUGUUGGGUUGGAAUCCCAACAUGAUUGGUUUGUAAAAGUCAGCAGGGUGAAAGCUGUGUAAAUGGUUGAAAGCGUGUGAUAAUGUAUUGUCUGUGCAAGUUAAAUUUUUUUAAAUUGAAGAAAUAGUACCAAUGAUACCAAUGGUACCAUCCUACCAUCCUAUUUGUAUUUAUGAUUUUGGCUUAUCUAUGUAAUUUCCAUUCAUUGACUAGCAUGCAUUAUAGGGCUAUCAUUUAAUCAUUGGGAGAAAAGUUUUCCUAAAUCAUCUAAGGGAAGUGUCAAAAGAUGAAAAACAAUAGGCUAAAGUACUAGUAUGUAUGUUUUUUACUCUUUUAAUUGCCACUAUAAUGUAAUGUUUGUGAUUAAUCUCUAUAAGACGAGAGAGAUCAUAGGUUUCCCAUAUUUAGAUGAUUAGAGUGAUUACAAUGAAUGUUCUUAAUAGGUUAGCACAAUUAUCAAUUUAUUCUAAAGUGUGUUUACUUAGCUUAGGGUAGGAAAAUGAAGAAGAACACUCAGUAAAUUUUGAACUUUGAAAAGCAAGGGGACAAAUUCGUGACUGUAAAUUUGUGAGUAUAGAAAUGUUCUGGUGUGGACCAACAGUCAAUUUCAAGUGGAAGUAGCUAACCGAUAAAUGAAGGGGACGAGUAUAAGAAUGAUAAAUAUACAAGUAAUGCAUAAAAAUGUAUGUGUCAAGAAAUAUCUUCAAAAUGAACACAACUAAAUAAAAACAAUAUGUUUACAGAUCUAAGUUAUAGUAUUUUAAUUGACCUAAGAAUUUUUUUAAUAACAUCCUAGAUUACAUAAUGAGUUACACAGCAACAGCAAAAACGAAACAGCCAGCGCAAUCAAGACCAUAUUGUAAAUUCUCAUUCUUACCCAAUCGCUUAAAACCCUAGAAACCCUGACCAAUUCGAUGUAUUAAAUCCUCACAAAUACUAGCAUGCAUGCUUCACACGAUGGAUAAUCUUUCGAAAACUUCUUUACGGCUAAUUUCAGUACCUAAAAGAUGAAUGGGUUCCCGAAAUGUAGGUCAUCUUUCUCUCUUUGCCUCUCAGAUUGAGCUCUCCAUUUCUAGCUGCUCAUUCAGAGAUGCAACAUUUCUUGUAAGUUUUCUUUUUCAAUAGCUUAAGUAAGGCAUAGGGGCCCGAGAAGCUUCGCUCUUUGGCUACUGUUAAGGCGAAUACGGUUCCCAAAAUAAAUUUAAUCUUACUGUGUCUGUUGGAAAGUAUCUACUUCCACUGGGCUGUUUAAAGAUUGAACAGUUGAACACUUUCGUGGAUUUAUUAGGGUUUUUGCAUUCUCUGACACUUUCGUGGAUUUAUUAGGGUUUUUACAUUCUAUGCGCUUCUGCAUGUUUUAUCACAACUAUCCUGAUUUUAGGUAUAGUUGAUUUAAAGAAUGAAAGUAAAAGAUAGCCGGUGUUGGACUUUUUGUGUUCUCCCGUUUCACCUAUUUAAGAACCCAUUCACUUUAAGCAAUAAGCAUUGUUGAGGAUGAAUCAGCUUUUAUGUUUUUAGUAAGUAGUAUUUUGUUAACUGUCCAUUAUUCUGUUGAAGAAUAUAUUUAAGUCGAAUGCUAGUACCUAUCCUGAAUUUCAAGGCAUGUUUCAACCCAGGUCACACUAAGGUUAGGGACUAUUUAUAGUAGUCUGGUGUGGGCAUGCAUUGCCGGGAGGGACGUUUUUUUUAAUUGAUAUUUUUUAAUUAUUCAUUUAACAAAAAUGCAUUCAUUUAUCAUAUAAAAACCGGGCAGAACACGCUGACCUUGGGGAAAACCAAGUUCAUAGCAGUCCUCGACUGAGAACAGAACCAACAGUUAUCUUAAACACCCUAGAUCUGAUAAAACGGUUUUUGUUGAUUGAUAUGGGGAUCCCCAUUAGGGUUACGGAAGAAUUUAACUUACUGCCACAAUAAUCAAAUUUGUUCGGGUGUUGUGGUUUUUAAGGCUUAUUGUUGAACUCAAUGGUGGGAGAUUGCAAUAAAGUUAUUAGGGCCAUAACACUAGCGCCAUAACCUUCUGUUAAGCGACGUUGAUGUAUCGCCCUCGGAGGUGUGAGGGCAAAGGUGGUUGGGUUGGAAUAUCAACACGAUUGGUUUGUAUAAGUUUAUAAAAGUCAACAGGGAAGCACUGAAAGCUUCAUGCAAAUGUUUGAAGCAAUAAGCUCAAUUUCUUCUAGUUUAAAUAACAGUAACAAUGAGAAUUCUAAUGGUAUCCUGCUUGCAUUUAUGAUAAUGUCUUAUUAAUUUUUUUGCGUUAAUCAAUUGUAGCUUUUCGUACUAUGUUUGCACGAUCAAAAAUUUCUUGGAAGAACUGAAAAUUCUGAGGGGCUUUGUAAAAUUCUGAAAAUUUGUUACCUUGGAGUUAUUGCCCUUACGUAAUCAUAUGUGCAAAUUUUGCACUCGAUGCAUUCUGUUCGGUCUUCUAUUGAGAUGUUUUUCAUUUCUUCAAAUUCAAAUGUAAAUGCCAUCUUAUUUUGUUGGCCUGUAAAGGUGUUCGAAGCUUAUGUUUUUUUCUCCAAAGGGGACAGCUAUAUAAAAUAUAGGGAAAAUUUAAAAUAUAUAGGAAAAUUCUAAAUGUUCGUAUGAAAACAUGGAUAAAGCAUGCAUAUAUACAUUAUAUUCAUACAAAAACAUGGAUAUAGCAUGUGUAUGACACUAUGAAAACAUUUUAGAAUGUAAAUUCUGAACAUACAACAUUGUCAAUACUCUUAUGCAUUCAUAAUUCAGAAUUUCAAUUCAUUCAUAUUGUCAAUAUGCAUAUCAUAAUAGAUAUUAAAGAAAUAACAUACAAAAUGUCAAAAUGUCUGAAAGCUACACCGCUGCCAUAUAGUUAGCGGAGUUUAAUUUGGGCAACAAAAAAAGUGGUCAGUGUUAUAAAAAUUGCAAUAUAUUGCCUCGAACCUUUUGGCCUGUUGGAAGCGUAAUCGAUUUCUAGUGGGUGAUAUAAGCUGUAUCUGUUUUGUGUAACUAUGCACUUAUUCAUCUAUUCCUUUAGAAUGAAGAUGGGUUCUUUUUGAUCAAAUGUAAACAUGUCCAAGAAAAGUGUGGUGUAACGUAACCAUUACAAUUUCUUAUCAUAUGUUGGCACCAACUCUUUUGGCCGUUUUUGGAAGAAGCAUGAUACCUCGUUCAAGGGUUCUCUCAAUGGGUAAUUCAAGAUGAGUUUGUUAUUGGAAGAUUUUACUUUUAAGGUUGUGGCCAGUUGGGUUUCCUAGGGAAAAUUAGGAAAAUAUCAUGUUCCUAGCAAAGCCUAUUAGCAUUAUCUUGGUGCUGCUUAUUAAUAGUCUGGAGUUAUGAUAGGCCACCCUUCCCAAAAUUGCUUCUCCUCAAGCAAUUGCUCUUGGAGUUAACAGGAUCUCAACUCAACCUGUAGAUUUGUAAUUUUCAGUCAUUGAUCAUGUUUAGGUAAGUAAUACAAUAACAUUCUUUUAGUUAAUGUGAAAUGAGAAUGUAACGGCCUAAUUUAGAAACUGGCAUGGAAAAGUCAAAGAUCAAUUAUUUAUUAAUAAGAUGGGUUUCUUACUGCAAGAUAGAUGCAUCAUAUCCAUAGCAGAAAGGUUUUGUGUUGGAUUGGCAUAUCAUAGACAAAUAGUUCAAUACUACCAUCUAUGAGAGAUGAGAAAAACAUCAAAUAAUUUUUAUUGAAAGAAUUGUCUUAAUUAAUAUGCGAGAUGUAUCUAUAAUGACAUCGAAAUGUCGGAAAACAAAAAUUCAAUUUUGAAACAAUUUGACACUCAAAUAAAGGGUAAUUGCAUGAUAUAUGCCAUCUUUUGGUUUUUGUGGUGUUAUUUAAUUACUCCAAAUAAAGUAGAACAUCAAAAUGUCCGUAAACAAAAAUUCAAUGCAAAUGAAUGGGUAGAUGCAUGAAAUAUGCCAUCUUUUGGUUUUUGUGGAGGUUAUUACUUUACUCCAAAUAAAGUUGUGGUGUUAUUUAAUUACUUCAAAUAAAGUAGAACAUCAAAACAUCUGUAAACAACAAUUUAAUGCAAAUGAUGGGUAAAUGCAUGAAAUAUGCCAUCUUCUGGUUUUUGUGGAGGUGUUAUUACUUUACUCCAAAUAAAGUAGAACCCUCACCACGUGUCUCCACUAUAGGAAACCGUUACAUUCAAAUGAUAGUGGAAGAGUACCAUAAUAUUUAAAAGAGAACAAUCAAUAAAAUUAUUAUUCAUAUUUUUGAAACUCUUGUAUAUUAGUAAUAUAGUUGCAAUCGGUCAGAUUCCCUUCUAUUAUAUCUGCAUAAUUUAUCUAUAAUUUUAAAAUAUAGAUAUACUAGUUAUAUAGCACCACAAGUAAUGAGCUACUGGGGAAUGAUUUUAUUGAAAAAGUAGAUGUAGUCGAUAUAUUUUAGUUUUUGUUGCAACCUUGUCAUGGAUAAAGGCUGGUCGUUAUAUGUUAGUGGUAGCGCAUUGGCCAAAGCCAUGUAUUACCAAGAAGCCCUCCUAAAUGCUACUAGACAACUAUAUUUUAUUGCUUCAGUUUGGCCAUAUCGCAAGCCUUCAUUGGUCUGCAUUCCGGCUUAAAAUAUAGGAUAUAACAUCCUUUCAGUGAAUCUGCUUUGCUCUGCAUUAUGUGAGGUGCUGUAUGCAAUGCCUAUCAAAUAGGACGCUCUUGAAUUGAUUCUAUUUUGUUAUGUACUUUGAUUGGUGGAGCAUCAGUUGGACAUCCUACUACAAUGGGGUGGAGCAUUAGAUGGACGUCUGGCAGGCGAAAGUUGUAGACAGAGAAUUCAUCGCGGAAGGGUUCAUGUAUGUCUAUAUUGAAGUUAUUCAAAGGCCUAUUGCUGGUCAAUCAAAGGCUGACCUUUUCCUUAUUGUGUGGUGAGAGGCAUACCCAGGAUAAGCUGCACAUUCAAUUAUUCACUAGAUCUUUACAUUAUGAAGUUUUGUGAAAUAAACUCAGAUAUAUAGAUUCCGCCCUUGAUAUAUUUAAGUGACAAUCUCUAAAAGGAGAGGUGCUGUGCUCUACGAUUCCUUUAUUUAAUAAAGUAUUUAAUGUGCUUUGUCAUUGUCUACUAUGGAGGUUUAUUCAGUAAGGACAUGUCAAGGUGGCAUGGAACAAGGUGUAAUUCGAUGUUGUGGUGAUUAGAAAAAAUAGCAUCAUAGCAAAAUUGCAUUGUAUUUGGUUUCUGCUUCGAUUAUUUGUUUAGUGAUAAUUGGUGCCAUACUGAUGGUGAGUAUGUAUCCUGGGAACACUUUAAAGUGGUUGAAAGAUAACCUUCCUGAAGAUGUGUGAUAAGUUGAUGUGUAUCUUAUUCACCUUCAUUGUUUGCACAACAAUGGUGACAAUGAACGCAAUGGGAGUUAAUUUGUCCAAUCCAAAAAAUGCAGUGUUGUUUGCAACAGAUGGGUAAAUAAUCAGCAUUAGAUCUGAUCUGUGGUUAUGAUGGGUAAUCCAUUUUAGCUUAUCAACGUUAAUCUAUAAAAACUAGAAUUUGAUUGAUCGAUUCGGAUUGUUGCUGUUUAUUAAUGAUUCUAUUUGAAAUUUGAAAUUUAUGUUUUA